AAGUUAUUAGUUAAAAUAAUAUUAGUUUGUCAGACUAAAGUUGAAUAAAAUUCAUAACUUG
Molecule: transfer RNA, 61 nt
Filed under: Caligus clemensi
Lineage: Eukaryota; Metazoa; Arthropoda; Copepoda; Siphonostomatoida; Caligidae
Description: tRNA-Asp
Source: RNAcentral